GCGAGCGUAGUCUAGUGGUUAUGAUGUCUGCUUUACAUCUUUCAAUCAGAUAUAAAGCGCAGAAGGUCGGGAGUUCGAUCCUCCCCGCUCGUA
This 93-nucleotide transfer RNA is filed under the name Curvularia clavata. It matches the Rfam family "tRNA". Rfam says of the family: Transfer RNA (tRNA) molecules are approximately 80 nucleotides in length. Their secondary structure includes four short double-helical elements and three loops (D, anti-codon, and T loops). The record is from Rfam by way of RNAcentral. Lineage: Eukaryota; Fungi; Ascomycota; Dothideomycetes; Pleosporales; Pleosporaceae.